GAUGAAGAACGCAGCGAAAUGCGAUAAGUAAUGUGAAUUGCAGAAUUCAGUGAAUCAUCGAAUCUUUGAACGCACAUUGCGCCCGCCAGCAUUCUGGCGGGCAUGCCUGUUCGAGCGUCAUUUCAACCCUCGACCUCCCUUUGGGGAGGUCGGCGUUGGGGACCGGCAGCACACCGCCGGCCCUGAAAUCGAGUGGCGGCCCGUCCGCGGCGACCUCUGCGUAGUAAACCAACUCGCACCGGAACCCCGACGUGGCCACGUCGUAAAACACCCAACUUCUGAACGUUGACCUCGAAUCAGGUAGGACUACCCGCUGAACUUAAGCAUAUCAAUAAGCGGAGGA
Molecule: unclassified non-coding RNA, 343 nt
Filed under: soil metagenome
Description: partial contains 5.8S ribosomal RNA, internal transcribed spacer 2, and large subunit ribosomal RNA
Rfam family: 5.8S ribosomal RNA (bases 1-120)
Source: RNAcentral